This is a long non-coding RNA of Chenopodium quinoa (quinoa), 1710 nucleotides long. RefSeq lists it as uncharacterized. The transcript is spliced from 7 exons. NCBI's taxonomy places the organism in Eukaryota, Viridiplantae, Streptophyta, Magnoliopsida, Caryophyllales, Amaranthaceae. The record is from RefSeq and is a predicted model, not a curated record.
UGUGAUCUCUAUGCAAUUAUCUUAUAGGUUAUUUGCUAUCUUAAUAUUUUACAAAACAAUUUGUAAAUUAUGGGCUUGUAUGUUAUAGACGUACAAUAAUACAUAACAUAUGAUAUGCUAUAUUCCUAAAGUAAUUGUUUUAAAAGUGCUUUUCUGCAACUAGCAUAUUGUUUGCGCUAUCAGCAUUCAGCACUACACUUGAAUAAGCCUUGUAGUUGAUUGUUUUUUUUUUUUUUCCUUCUUAGGCCCCACCAACCAAUUUGAUUUGAUUUGAUUUAGCAGGAGAUUAUAUUAAUAAGAAACUGCAGUAUCAUUAUAUAUAUGCUAAUCCUUAAUGGUUUUCCAACCGUCUACAUAUGAAACAUGUGUCAGGUUUUUCAUCUUUUUAUAUUCUCAUAGUAUAAAGCUUUAGAAGUUGUUCAUUAUUAUGUGAAUUCUUUAAUGAGAAUCUGUAGCAAAAGCUUUCUGUCUCCGGGAAUCAUCGCGAGCCAUAACCAUGUAACUUAGAGUUUACACUGCAUUAUUCAAGUUUGUAACUGAUACGGUAGUUUGUGUUCAGGUUUCUGUUUUGAGAGAAAUUAUACUGAGGACAUUGUGGAAUUAAGGGAGCACGUUCAAAUUACUGGCAUUAAGAGUUUGGCAGUGGAGGUUACUACUACAACAAACUUCUACCCGUAUGACUUUAUUUUCCCAAGCUUCACACCAAAAAGAGGCAAGCAGAACUUUAUCCAAUUGGUAUCCAUGGUGUACAAGGUCAAAACAUGCCCACUUAUUUCCUCUAGAAGUUAAGUAUUAUCCUUUACUUUCAUUCUCUUUUAUUUUAUUCUUUCCCUUUCAUUUUUUUUUUUGUUUUUUUUUCAACAUGAUAAUCUUGCUUGCAUAUGUGAUUUGGCUGUGUGCAGUAGGAAAACGGACUAACAGGGUGCACUAAGGAUGUGGAGUUACAAAUGAAAGCGGAAGCAGCCAAAUCAUACCUUCAGCAGUAGGAGAAUGGAAUUUCUUUCAUCCUUAUUCAAGGACUGUCUCACGUGUGGGGUGUAAGGGACUUCGGAGUAUUCUGUGGUUGAGAAACUACAAUGCAAACUGAUGCAGAAGAGCAUUUUGUAUAUUUUUCUCGGGUUUCCAGAUAGAGUAUUUAGUAGCAGCAAUUGAACAAAAGAGAAAUAAAAAGCUACUAGGCAACCGUAGUGUCAUGGCAUUUAGCCAUUUAAUCUGUUUGGCUUUUCAAAUCUUUAAUACAUCACUAGGAACACUUGGAUAAGUUCAUUGCUCAAGAUUGAAGAAAUAUAAAGCAUAAAAGAACAAGUAAUGAAGAAAUGUGCACUUGAUUUGCAAAGAUCAUACUUCAAACGCCGAUAUCUUUUAAUCUACAAAACAUUUUGGGGCGAUUCCUAUCGGAGAUGAAAGCUUAUCUUGAGAGCUUCCCAACGACAGGUCAUAUGCUCAAUUCCGAUGUAAAACGUGGGAGAUAUGCUCAUUUGAAGCUGAGCAGUUUGCCCAGUCCGCAGCCAGGAGCGCCCGCUCCUCAAGGCCGCACGCCCGCUCCUCACAGGGUGUGCAAUUUUGAAGUUUGGCUGAAGGUUUGGCAGAAAGUUUGGAGCGCUCGCUCCUGAGGGGUGCACGCCCGCUCCUCUACGCGCUGCUCGACUUUUUGCGGAGCUUCCUAGGCAAUUUAGUAAGGGCUAUAAAUAGAUUUUUUGCUCAUUUUAG